This 210-nucleotide long non-coding RNA is filed under the name Elaeis guineensis (African oil palm). RNAcentral describes it as "long non-coding RNA (EGUI_LNC014064)". Lineage: Eukaryota; Viridiplantae; Streptophyta; Magnoliopsida; Arecales; Arecaceae. The record is from RNAcentral.
UAGUUUUUAACUUCUUAUUCUGAAAACCACAUUAAUGUGGUGAGUCUAACUAAAUUCUUUGUCGGUUUUAUUUUUAAUACUCAAAAUUAUAGCAUCGAACUCUUGUUUACUUGAUAAUGCAAAUUGUGCACUAAAAUUUUGAAAAGAAAUUAAUCCCAACAAUAACUUUCAGACAGACAAAUCCUGGUUUAUCGAAGCUUUUUGUUGCAU